GGAUGCUGACGUCGGCGGAGGAGGAGAGGUAAGGGAGCCAGGCGGGGGAACAGGGUGACUAGCUGAAGGGGUUUUAACCCCUUCAGCGCCGCGGGAGAUGGACCAUGAGGGUGGGGGCACCCUCAGGAUACUAUAGUGCCAGGAAAACCAAGCGGUUUUCCUGCCACUGUAGUAUCCCUUUAAUUCAGAGCAGCAGUCAUGGCAUCCCAAGCAGAAAAUCAGCCAUCGGAGCUACAACCAAGAUCUUGCUUGUGGUGGGAAAUCUUGCUAGCAGUUGUAGCUCUGCUGAUUUAACGUAUGCAUUUGUGAUUCUGAUUGUGUGUAUGUUUAUAUCUGUAAAUUUGUGGCUGUGUGUAUUUGCCUGCUUAAAUGGUGUGUAUGUGUGUGUUUUUUUUUUUUCCAGUGCCAAUGUAUAUGACUAAAUAUAACAUUAUAUAUAUUAUAUAUAAAAUAGGAUGACCACAUUUCCUAACUGCCAUUCAUGGACACUUACUUUCACAAGUGCAUUUAAUCAAAUUUAUAUUGUGGAGCUGAUUGUGGUGUGUGUGUGUGUAGGAAGCUUUAGUGUGUAUAUACAGAGGCUGUUUUGUGUGUGUGUGUGUGUGUGUAUAGUGGGCUGUUUUUGGGGGGAGGUGCUUGUGUGCAUAGGGGGCUUCAGUGUCUAUUAAUUUGAUGUAUUGCUUGAGGGGAUUGGGGUUUCAGGGUGCUGGGUGGGAUAUUAAACAUAUGUAAUAAUUAUGCAUAUAUUGGCAUAAUAAAAAAAAAAAUGGAAAAACAACCGUACAUUUAUACCCCACCUCCCUUCUGUUACCUUUUGCCAAGGGAGGAGGGUUUCUUGGUUGUGUAGUGGGCUGAGUGCCCUCUCUGGCUGUUUCCUCUGAGGAGCUCCGCCGUUACUGAGAGCGUUGCCAUGGAAAACCACACUCUCAGUAACCGAAGCUCGCGGGGAACAGACCACAUGGCCGACCCCCAGCAGGAGAUGAAUACAGCCUCUCCUGCGCCACUCUGCCUGUCUGUGCAAUUGGCCGGUGAAGAAGUCCAGUUUCCUCACCAGCCCAACAAGGGACUUUGUCACAUGUUUUGGCUUAGCUCACUGAGCAUCGGCCCUGAGUUUGCCGGCCGGGGAGAUCCUUUAAUCUCCCUGGUCGGCGUAGUUCCUUGGCCAUCGUGGCCUGGAGACAGACAGAGGCGGUGGCAUUGCAGCUCAGCUCAUUCCAGGACACUACACUGUCCCGGAAUGAGGAUCCCAGGACCCAGGACAGACUCUCAAAAUGUGAGACUGUCCCAGGCGAUCCGGGACACGUGGGCACCCUAAUAUAAAAUAAAAAAUGUUUACCUAUGCAGCUGUACAAUGUCACCUUCUGUUGCUGAUCUGUUGAUUUGUGCUGCAUAAAAAAAUAUAACAAUUAACCAUAAAAAGUGUAAAAUUAAAAAAA
Pelobates cultripes (western spadefoot toad) is the source of this 1436-nucleotide non-coding RNA. The record is from the annotation of a GenBank genome assembly. NCBI's taxonomy places the organism in Eukaryota, Metazoa, Chordata, Amphibia, Anura, Pelobatidae.